This 348-nucleotide long non-coding RNA is filed under the name Heterocephalus glaber (naked mole-rat). RNAcentral's name for it is "lncRNA (ENSHGLG00000035751.1)". The record is from RNAcentral. Lineage: Eukaryota; Metazoa; Chordata; Mammalia; Rodentia; Bathyergidae.
GAGCCUUUGAGUUUAGUACACUCUUAUUGUACUUCGGAAUAUUUAGGUGGAUGCAGAGGCUAUGGAAGAUUUCUAACCACUUCUCCAUCGAUGAUUUCUGACAGAGUUGCCUAGGAUUUGCUUCUAGUCUCAAUGGUCUGUACCUAUUACACUCCAAGCCUGUGGCCUCCUGUAAAAUGAUGCAGAAGCAAUAAUCACGAGAUCACAUGCCACCAAGUCCUUCAGUAUUGCACCUGGGGUUUGCAAAAGUCCAUCAGUGACUGUGCAUUGCCCAUGCCUUCAGCUCACUGGAUCUCUCCCUCUGGCUGCCCUGUCUCCAGUUCAAAUUUGGCAUUACAGAAUUUCAAG